This 163-nucleotide ribosomal RNA is filed under the name uncultured bacterium. RNAcentral describes it as "partial 16S ribosomal RNA". It matches the Rfam family "Bacterial small subunit ribosomal RNA", at positions 355 to 511 of the family's 1533-position model. The record is from RNAcentral.
UAGGGAAUCUUCCACAAUGGGCGAAGCCUGAUGGAGCAACACCGCGUGAGUGAAGAAGGGUUUCGGCUCGUAAAGCUCUGUUGUUAAAGAAGAACACGUAUGAGAGUAACUGUUCAUACGUUGACGGUAUUUAACCAGAAAGUCACGGCUAACUACGUGCCAG